GGUCCCGCUUCCGCCGUCACUUCCCAAAACCUCUCGUUCCAGAUUUAUUAUCUUCACCUCGUCGACCCGAUGCCUACGCAGCCAUUUCCCGGCGACAAGCCUUCCUCGUAGAUCGAGAUCCCCAAACCUACCUGUGUAGGCGGAGAGGAGGGCGAUUUCUGUCGUCAUCGCUGGAUUCCACUCGCCGUCUCCGUCGCCCUGAUUCCACUCACUCGCCACCGCACUUUUUCUGGAGCCACUUCGUCCAUUUGAGCGAGGUUUUUUCCCAUGCUUUUUUAUGUCACUAUUUUGAAUCCCUCGGUGUGUACUGUGCUGUCUCAUUUUAUAUGUUGGUUUUUGUCAUUUUAUAUGUUGAUUUUUGGCAACGGAGCACCUAGUGUCGUGGAUCAAUAGAGUAGCAAAGAUGAAUCUGUACAGUAGCAUGGGCAUGAGCCUUUUUGUGGUGAUUUGAGUUCUCGUACGAAUUUAGAAUCCGCGGGUUCAGAUGUGUGUAUUGCGGCGUUCUUUACUCGGCAUGUGGUUCAUUGGUGGGAUUCGGUUGCAGAUUUGCAACACUCCAGUGCUUGAUCGAUAGGGGAUGUUUUCCUGUUCAUGAAUUUGUAUUGGAUGGAGCAGAUGCAACGAACAUAAUAUCAUUACAUCAUAGAAAGGGGAUUAGAGAAACAGCUUUUCCAGACCGUAACCACCUGUCGUUCCUGUGUUUUCAUUCUCUCUGCCCAGAGCGUAGCGUCCUCAACACAGAGUCGAAGCACCCGUUGUAGCGAUGGUGCUUCCUCCCUGAACAUGACAACAUUGCGGUGGGCAUUUUGCUUUGAUUCUGGUGUCUGUAACUUUAUUUGAAUGCUCCAUUUCAUUUCAGAGAUGAAUGGGCUGAUAUGUUAGUUUGAAUCUGAUCCCAUGGUAUGCUGUCUGUAGUUUGGUUGAUUAAUUGCCGAACUUCCUGCAUGUGGCUGAAAUAUUUUGGAUUUGAAGCAUUUCAUCUCAUAUAUGCAUGUUGACUGAUCCUCCUUGUAUUUCUGAUAUACCUUCUUUUCGCAUCUGAAGUAUUUCGCUUCACAGAUGUAUGAACUGUUCUCCCAGUGCGUUCUGAGAUGUUUGGUUCAAUUAAACCCGAUUCCCUGCACGUUAUGUUUUCUUCUGGAUCAUGCUGAUGGUAUCCUGCCGUCUUGUUUGGUUUAUAAAAUCUCUGUGCGUGUUAUGAAUUCUUCAGUGUUGAUCCUAAUGAGUUAGCAACAAACCAAUACCUGAACUUGGCUCCUGUUGGCUGUUGCUUUGAGAAAUUAUGGGCUGUUGGUUGCACUUGUUGCUUUAUCCUGUUCUGUCUUUGUGCGUUCCUUAUUAAUUUCUGCACAACUGUAAAUCUGUUUGAACUGGCAUUAUUUCUGAAUUUUGGGAACAGAGAAUUGCACAAAUUCAUUUGACACGCACGAUUCUUACAAUCUGAGACUGAUUUUGGAAGGCAAGCUGCAGAUAAUUUUUAUGCUGGGAUUCUGGUGUGAAUUGAAUAGAGAAAGGAAAUCGCUGUUGCAACUCUAUCUCAAUGCUGCAUUUUGUUUGAGAGAUGCAUGGACUGAUCCGUUAGUACUGAUCACUUCGUAUCUGUUAUUUGGUUAACUAACAUAACUCCCUGCAUGUCUCUGAGCUCUUCUGCAUCUGAAGCAUAUUGUUUUCAAAACGCAUUUGGAUUGAUCCCCUAGUUUGCUUCUAACUUGCAUUCUUCUACAUCUAAAGCUUCAUUUCGUUUCAGAGAUUUAUCAUUUAUGGACUUAUCUCCCACUAUGUUCUGAGUUGUUUGGUUAAGUUAACCCAGCCUCCUAUGUGUUUUGCUUUCUUCCCCAUCAUGUAGUCAUCAAGUGGCUGAGCCUUGGGAUGUUGCCUCAGUUUUUUUUUUCCUUGUGUUGAUCUUGAAUUUGUGUAUCUAUGCUUUGACAUCUGCUUACUGGCCUACAACAGGUUGGUUUAUCUGGAUACUACAUGAUAGCUGAUUUCUUAUAUAUGUGAGCCUUUUGUAGCUGAUGACCACAUAGUACAAAUUAUCCCUUCUAUUAAAAGUAGCAGUUGUUUUUGUAGGUAAUACAUGAUUUAUCCUUUCGGUAGGCUUUUUUAGUAAUAGAUUCAUGACUAAUGUUGAUAGGAAGAAGAUAACCUAUGCAAGUCAUGUUGGAUUGUUUAGUGACAGAUAGCUAAUAUCUGUAGUGUAUAUUCUCUAUCUGUGAUUUUCCCAUUUCACUCCUAUUGGUUCAUAAAAUAUGGGGACGGUCAUAGGUAGCAACUAGGUUGCAUUUUAGUGCUGUUCAAUUCAUGUCCAUGCUUUCUUUUCAGGCUUGUAGGUUUUCUGCCAUUAUUGAGCUUUUCCAUGGCCACUGCAAACAAUCCAGGUCCCCUUGACUUGGUUCCAGGUUUUUCACCUGAAGACAUGGACAACCCCAUUCAUAAUGCUGCCUUAUCCUACGUGUCAUAUGAUAGAUAUGUGUUAGAUACCUCUGAAGUGUAUUUUGAUGAUUGCAUCCCAUUGGAGUCUUAUCUGAAUAUUAGACCAAUGGUGACUUCUGAUUCGUAUCAGUUUCGUUCAUUUGGGGAAACUAAUCCAAGUGUGACUUAUCUGGUUGCAACAGAGUCAUAGAACUGCCUCCAUCGCGCGCGGGCGAUGGCGGCCAGGAACAAGAGGGUAGUGAGGUCCUCAAGAAGGAGGCCUCUCUGGGUCCAUGGAGUGCUGGUUGGAGGAGUCUGGGAAGAAGGUGGUCAAGUACAAGAUGCCUAAUGUUGUUAUC
RNAcentral lists this unclassified non-coding RNA (2771 nucleotides) under Oryza sativa Indica Group (long-grained rice). RNAcentral describes it as "misc RNA OsMH63_12G005090". Lineage: Eukaryota; Viridiplantae; Streptophyta; Magnoliopsida; Poales; Poaceae. The record is from RNAcentral.